UGGUUCUGGCAUCGAUGAAGAACGCAGCGAAAUGCGAUAAGUAAUGUGAAUUGCAGAAUUCAGUGAAUCAUCGAAUCUUUGAACGCACAUUGCGCCCGCUAGUAUUCUAGCGGGCAUGCCUGUUCGAGCGUCAUUUCAACCCUCAGGCCUUGCUCUGCCUGGUGUUGGGGCCUCUACGGCGCCUCGCGCGCCGUAGGCCCUCAAGGUCAGUGGCGGGCUCGCUACGGCUCCGAGCGCAGUAGAUUUACUUUUUCUCGCUUUGGAGGUCCGCGGCGGGCGACCGGCCGUUAAGACGAAGUCGCUCCCCCACCCGCUGUGGGAGGGGGGAGGCUUCACCCACACAAUAUGGUUGACCUCGGAUCAGGUAGGAUUACCCGCUGA
Molecule: unclassified non-coding RNA, 381 nt
Filed under: uncultured fungus
Lineage: Eukaryota; Fungi
Description: partial contains 5.8S ribosomal RNA and internal transcribed spacer 2
Rfam family: 5.8S ribosomal RNA (bases 1-133)
Source: RNAcentral